This is a long non-coding RNA of Quercus lobata, 583 nucleotides long. RefSeq lists it as uncharacterized. The record is from RefSeq and is a predicted model, not a curated record. NCBI's taxonomy places the organism in Eukaryota, Viridiplantae, Streptophyta, Magnoliopsida, Fagales, Fagaceae. The transcript has 3 exons.
CAGAUUGAGAUUAAAUUUGAAACCGAUGGUCCAGGAUUGGAGGUUAUGAAAUGCGGGGGCCGUUUGAUAUUCGAGCAAGACAUUGAAGAUCUAAACCAAACUAUGCCCAGGUGCAGCAACAGCAGCAGCUGUAGCAUCACUCCUUAUGAGGAUGAUUUUGAAGGUUCAGCAAAAGAUACCAAAACUAAGCGAAGCCGUGAUGACAAUGAUGGAACCAGUGGAGAAGGUACCUCUAAUGAGAUAGAUGUACCACACCCAAAGAGGAUACAACUCCAUAAUCUAAUUGAAAGAUUUAUUCCACAUUUGGGAAAUUGGAUUGAAAAUUUAAGCACACAAGGACAAGGUAACACUGAUUGCGAAAAAGAGGAAUCCCAGUGAAAGUAGAAGCUUUGAUGAAUCUGUACAGUUGAUAAUUUCCUUUUUCUCUAAAGUUUUUUUGCCCCCCAUACUGGAUACGAUUAUUGGACUUUGUAGUUUGUUGGCGAGGUGAGAUUCUCGCAUUGCCAGGAUCUGAGAAGAUAUGUACAACAGAUAUGUUGUAAAAUUAGAAGGAAAGAAGAAAACUUGGGCCAGUUUUCACCAA